GUGCUCGGCUGGACCCAGGACUCUUGUAUGCUACACGAGCGCUUUACCAAUUAAGCUACCGAGCC
This 65-nucleotide transfer RNA is filed under the name Aedes aegypti (yellow fever mosquito). RNAcentral describes it as "partial tRNA-OTHER". The record is from RNAcentral. Lineage: Eukaryota; Metazoa; Arthropoda; Insecta; Diptera; Culicidae.